Molecule: long non-coding RNA, 362 nt
Organism: Salvelinus fontinalis (brook trout)
Lineage: Eukaryota; Metazoa; Chordata; Actinopteri; Salmoniformes; Salmonidae
Exons: 3
Source: RefSeq, a predicted model, not a curated record
CCCCAAAGAACCUAAUACAUAUUGAUAAUAGUGACCAUAACCCUGACCACAACACGGACCACAGUGUGACCAUAGAGAGAAGGAAAGACCUGCAGGACCAGCUGAGACAGGAGGUGGACGAACACAUCCAAGAGGGGAGAGUAAGUGUGGAGAGGAUGCAGGAGAGAGUGGGUACGAUCCAGCAGCUAAAGGAAGCCCUGAGAGAGGAGAAACAGGAGAGCAGUGAGAAAUCUGACCACUUAGAACAGGACUGGUACCAGGCGGAGUACAACAGAGCACAGGAGCGGAGGAGGAAGAUCAAAGAGGAUCAUGGGAGAGUGAUACAGGAGGAGGUGGAGAAGAUGGAAAGAGAGCUGGGGCAG